Molecule: long non-coding RNA, 23065 nt
Organism: Gallus gallus (chicken)
Lineage: Eukaryota; Metazoa; Chordata; Aves; Galliformes; Phasianidae
Source: Ensembl
GUGAAACUGUGGGAUUCCUGCACUCCUACAUAUGAGACCCAGACUGAACUCAAAGGACUGACCAGUUUACCUCCCCAACCAGACUACUUUCUUCAUAGUGCACAAUUGAAAUUGGAGUACACUCGGGUUUCCUUACUUUGAAAAAGCUCAGAAGGAGCAUUUACAUCUCCUAGUGAAAGACUGCAGAAUGGAGUUGAAAUUAAGUUAUUAGAGUUCACGAUUUGUCUUGGCCCAGAGCCUAAUCCAGUUUAUAAUCCAAGAUCUAUGUUGGAGUCUCUGCAUCAGUUUUCCAUGGAAAUAAAUCAGAGGCAUUGCUUUGGGAGCAACCUACAUGGAACUACACGUCUUACUGCUGCAAUUCAUAAACAGAAUAUUGACAAAUUCCUCAGAUUAUAAUUAUAACGAUCUGAAAAAUCAAAUGGCAAGAGUUUGAGAUGGGACUAGUUCACAUGUUGGAGUUGAAGUCAAAGAAGUCUGGACAAAUGGUGCUGAGUCAUGUAUAUAAUAAUUUCUUCAACAACUGCUUCCCAUAUUUGCAUGUUCAACUUUGCUAGGGAAACUUUUCUCAGUAUAUUUCAUGGACUCAGAUGUCAGAUCAAGGGAGAAACAUUCACUACAACCAGAGGUUACAGAGCUUAACAGACCUACAAAUUAACUUCAAGCUGUCGUUUGGUCUUAGAUAUGGUGAGCUUAAGCUUAUGGUCUUUUUUAAUUUAGAAAGACUAACAGGGAAAAAUGACAUGCAGAGUGACAGUCUUACAGAACUCUAGGAAUGGAUAUUUUAUAUGUUGAAACUAUGUCUGUACCAUUUUGAAUAAAGGCAAUUAUAUUCAUAUCUGGCUGAAAAUUAACCUGUAAUCUGCUAGGAUGUGAUGUGUAUAUUGAACAACUGCUAGGGGCAAAGAUCUGAAGUUUUUGUUGUUUGCAGAGAUCAUAUCUAGCUCUUCUGUGCCUCUAAUUCUAAACUUCUUGCACCUUGAGUACUGCAUUCAGUUUUGGGCCCCUAACUACAAGAAAGACAUUGAGGCCUAAGGAAUCUGGAGCACAAAUCUUAUGGAGAGCAGCUGAGGGAACUGGGGUUGUAUAGUCUGGAGAAGAGGAGGUUCAGGAGAGACCUUAUCGCUCUCUACAUCUACCUGAAGGGAGGUCGUGACAAGAUUCUAGGUAUUGAUACUAGUCUCACUGGGUGUCAUGAAAUCACGAAUCUUUCUUUCUGGACGUAUGCAUCAGGUAGGCAUUUAAUUGGCAUUUCUCUUUAAAAAAAAGUAGCUGCCUUAAUGUCUAAUGACUGAUUUGCCCUUCAUGAUACAUAAAUUGGUAGUAGCUUUUUUUUAUAUACAAAGAAAUACUCAUUCCCAUAGAGAAACCUUUUUCUCUUUCCUGAAUGAAAUGACACAGAUCUACAGUUUUCUGAGCCAAGCUUAUAAAAGGUUGUUACAAACGGAGCACAAUUGUGGGAGGUAGGGAUCUCAAAUUCUAAUUUAGGCAUUCUUUGAGGUAAAGAACUUGUGAUGCUCACUUUCAACUGUCCGAACACUCUUAUGUUUUUGAGAUAUAGGCUAACAUAGAGACUAGGAGGCAUAUAAGCUUAUAUGAUUCUCUGUACAGGGUUAGAUAUCAUUCAGUUUUGCUAUUGCUUUGUGUUUGUAAAUGUUUUAAAAUAUAAUGCCUUGUGUAAGAGCUAAAUCUUUUCAUAGCUUAAGUAGUUCUAGUAAAAUAGCAGAUUUUCCCUAAUCAUUUUAAUUACAAAAAGCAAUUGAUAAUCUCUCUCUUCUUUGGACAGAGAGAGCUUUUGAUUUACAUUUCUGUGCAUCUCAUUCUUUUUCUGAAAGCCUGUGUACACUACAAAAAAUUGAAAUAUUUUUCUUCAUAGGAGCAGCAUACAUAUAGGCACACAGAAACUUCAGUGUCAUUAUGGCUCUAUCCUUUUGAAAGCCUACUUUAAAAAAAAAUAAGGACCUAGUAUUUCUAAAGUCCUUAAGAAGGGAAAGAAGCUGCUGCAGACUUAGUUGAAGUGGUAUGACAGUAUUCCAUUACACAUUUGCCAUUUGAUUCUCCUGAGUAAAGCUUCACUAUAAUUGAACUCUACAUGUUUUGCACUUUGUGAACUCAACUGGUACCUCAUGCUUUUCUGAAGGAUGUAAAUGUAUUUAAACACUCACAGGUUAUGCAGUUUGUGAAAAUGGUACCGAACAGCUAUCUAUGGAUGUACUCUAGAAUAUUUGUGUUUCAGAUCAUCUCAUACUUUGCUGCUUCAUAGCAAAUAUGUAGGAGGGGCAUGAAGGGAUGAUAAAUACAUAGCAGAGAAGCUCAGCGAAAUCUUUCCAUUGGCAUUUAGCACUGAGACUCCAACACCUGAUGCACUUCUGUAGUAGAUAGACUAGAAUAUGUAGGUCAGUUUGAAGUAACUACAUCAAAAGUAUUGCUUCAGUCAGGCAUAUUAGACAGACUAGACUUGACUCAGUGUCAAGUGGUGGACAAUAAGCCACCAAAAUUUUGGACAUGUUUAGAAAAGUUAGUGAGAUUAUUCUUAGAAACAAAGAACACCCGAAUGGAGAGUACAGAGUACAUAACUGGUGUACCCAUACCCUGAGUCUCAUGUGUAGUUUGGUCUAGAUAUCUAAGGAAGGGUGUAGCAGAGUUGAAAGAAGUGUGGAGAAAAACAAGUAAAAUAUUUGAAGUGAUAGAGCAGAUGCCUUCUGUAGACACACUAAAAAGCUGGGAGACUUAAUUUAGAAGCAGAGAAGGCUGUGGGAGAAUAUGACAGAAGGUAGAUAAGUCAUAAACUGAAUACACAGAAUUUGUUCACAAAAUACCACAAUAUUAGGCCCCUGGGAACUUGAAAUCAGUUGAGGUUUUAUUUAAAGCUGGUGAAAUGAAGUUCUUUACACAGUGAACUUCAGAAACUGGGGUCAUUGGAGAAGGUGGAAGCAGCCAGUACUGGAAGGUUUAUGAAGGGGUAAAGCUCUCACAAAUGAGCCCUUAACCCUUUUAAGGCUGGGCAGAGUUGUAUCAACUGACAAUAUUCAUAAAACCAUUCUGUACACUGAGGAUGCGUAUAAGGGGAUUGAACUGCAGAAAGUGGCCAAGUUAUGUGCUCUCUUUGAAUGUCAACUAUUGAAUAUUGCACGAGUACACUCUUUCCUCUGAAGGAAAUUUACUAAGUAUCCUCAUUUUUGUCCAGCCAAAGAGUUUUGCAUGUGGUUUCUUUCAGAGUAUGUCCAAACUGCUCUUUAAACAAGACUGAAAUUUUUGUGUCUUUAUGAAUGAGGAUUGAAUAUUCCUUUGCAAUACCCAGGCUACCUCAUCCAGUGUGGAAGUAUUGAAUGAUUCCUAUGCAGAAAACAAAACAGCAUACAGGUUCUGCUAAGUCUGAUCAAGAAACAAUGAGGUGAUAUGUCCUGAAAAAUUCAGUCAUUGCUAAGAAUUCAGUACAAUUCGUUCAAAAUAGUGGAAUUAGUGAUAUCUUGACUGAAUGGAGAAAGAAACUUGUACGGUUUUGUUUCUGCAGACAGUAAGAUAAGUAACAGUUAUGGACUAACAUCACUGGUAGCAAUGUACAGCAAAUUAAUGAGAAAGCAAAGUGUCAACAGACUUCUGGGCAUACAAUAAUAACAAACAUAGUAGAAGAGGAAUCCAAUAUCACAUCUUAUGCCAUUUACUUAUUUGCCAACUUACGUUUCCACAGGCCACUGAAAGCAAUAGCCGCUUGGUUAUGGCAGAAGGUUACAUAUUAUAAAAUAUUUUAGUGCUUCUUUCCAGAGUCAGAAGUACAUAUAUAAAUGAAUUAGAGAAUUAAUAGAAGGGUGCAGGAAACCUUAAAAUCCUUGCUUCUAAGAGAUUAUAGUGAAAAAUAAUAAACAGAUAUCAAAGAGAAAAGGUGUGUUUGAACUACUUCCACCUGUUAAGUAUAAUAAUCUCUCUUUCAUUUUGAACAGUUUUGAAGCAUCAAACACCUUGUGAAUUUCUUACAUAUCUGGGCUUUGGAAGCCUGAUGUUGUACAGGGUAAAUAUUUAAAUCUUUAAGGUGGGUACUGAUGUGAGUGGAGAAUACAAACAUAACAACUAUGCAUUGCAAUAAAUGAUAAAGUGAGAUUGUUGAGUUUUAGCAGUGCAAGAAUUACAUGACAUUAGCAGUAUCCAAUAGGUCUUGGAUGGAGAAAUCUUAGUAAAGGCUUUCUGUUCAGACAUGGUUUUAUAAGUAACAUACGUUAUUCAGGUGUGGAUAUAUGAUGAGAUUUUUUAGACUGUUGCAUUAUUCCAAUAUUAACUUUAGCAUAUACCUUUGAUAGUGAUAACUCCCAAUUUAUGCAGUGACUAUGGUUAUGGUCAACUGAGUAACCCAUGAAAAGAAUUCCACAUGAUGAUUUAAAAAUAGUCAAAUAUUCUAAUUUUUUUCACAUAAUUAUGUGAAAAAAUAUAUAAAUACAAUUUUAUAUUACUUAAGAAAAUAGUUUUUAUUCAGGAAACUUACAUAAGACACUGAAUGAAUUGAACAUAUAUAUUUUAAUGACAAGCAAACAGCAAUAAAAUUAGGAACACGUUAAAGUUUGUCCUGCAUAUCCCUAAAAGAAUACUGAAAAAUAAUUCAAGAGAAUUGUUUUCUAAAACCUAUUGUGUAUUUGUUUAGAUUUUAUAGAAAAUAAUGAUCACAUGAAGCACACCGCAUCAAUUAGGUUUAUAGAAACAAAACACUGUGUUAAUAGUAAUAUGCAAGUAAAUUAACUGUUAUCUCACACUCUUAAAUGUAUUAGUAGUAAUAUUAAACUUCAGUGUAACUGAAAGUACUGCUAAAUUUAAAGCAAAUAUCUGAUUUUUAAAUUGACAUUAAUUGAAGCCCCAAUCUCUCUCUCCCUACCUCUGUAAUCGAUUAGGUUUGAAUACUUACACAGCAAAUCUCUGAAGUCAUUUCAGACCCAGCGUUUGUGUGCAGAAAACAUUACAUAAGUCAUUUCAAAUACUAAAAAAAAAUAGAGAAAAUUUAAUUGUGGAUUAGAAAAAAUCGUUGAAUAAAUUAUAUUUAUUAUAUUUUCUGAAUGAUUUCCUCUUUAAUAAGCAGACACGCCAGUAGAAAACAGCCAUUGGAAUAUCUAUUAUCUCUUCAUCCUUUUAUCCUCUUGCAAUUCUCUUGGGGAAGCAUACAUGUAUAUGCUGCAUGAAAUGUUAUUAACUGACAUUAAGUCUCUCAUCCCCUUAGGCCGUGGAUUUUUUCCUGCUACUUUACUGACCAUUAAGCAGCUCUUGUGGAUGUGAUCUGGAAAUUAUUGUAUUUAUACCUUAUAGAGCACAUGUAUUAAACCGCUCAUUAGGUUUUGAUAUUACAUGACUUCAUAAGCCUCAUAUGAGCUACAGCAGCAAUUAUGUUUUAGUAUAAUGAUGUGAAAAGGACAAACUAUUGGUUCUUUAAAUGUGUGCCGAAGUCUUUUAAAAUAUUAUCUGUCAUCUCUAAGGUGUCUGUUUUUAACUCUUCUUCAUGUCAUAACUAAGUAUGAUUAAGGACAAAGUAAGACUGCCUGCUUUGAGUGCUGUCAGAAGCCACAGGGAACCUUUUUGCUCCGGCUGACUUGCACUGGUGGAAGGCAAUACUUUGUGGCUUGUGCUUUGAGAGGGAAAAUUAAGAUGGUGCUACAUGUCCAGACAUGCCUCUGAAGAAUGUUGGAAAGUUGACUAUCUAAGUUUGUGCAGCAAAGGAUUUGCUGAUAGAUAGCAUGAGAGGUAGCAUGGUGAGAAGGAAAUUAUACCUAUUGCACAGAUACCUCAGCUGCAUUCUCCACCAAUUAUUUUGAAAAUAUUUUGCUGUUUGUACCCUUCUUCUUUAUAACAGCACCAGCAGAGCACCAACUAGAAUGCAUCUAUCUCCUUCUUACUUUCCAGUUUUUCUCAGGUGUCUUAGAUCAGAAGAUUUCAACCAAUUUUAAUAUUCAUUCUAUUUAAAACAUUGUCUUUUUUUCCCCCAAAUCUUAAAGGCUCAAAACAGUUCCCCAUGGGAAAACUAAAGACUGUACCAACACAAGAAUCUCAUUAUCUUUUGCACCUGCACUUUCUGUCUAUUUUUAUAUUUUAUGAUGCUGCAGUUCUUUCUACAGUCAUACUGACUGCAUUAAAUUAUGUAAAGGCAGAGUCUUGUGACACCUCUGAACCAACAGGCAGGAGAAUACAAAAUCUUUCUUUUGCUCUCACCCUGACUCAAAAUUAAAUUCCAAAAAUUAUAUGCAAAUAAUAUCACCACUCUCAGUUUAAUGAAUGGAAUCAAAGAACGGCAAGGGCAAAGACGUAAGUUUUAUCCUCUGCUAGUACUGAAGAAUUAGCACUAGAAUUAGUAUGAAUUUGCAUUACUAAAUGAUCAUUGAAUGACAUGAUAACUGGGUGCAAUUCAAGUUUGUUAAUAUUUCUAAACGAUAGCAUCGUUUUUUUUGCUUAAGGCUCAGGGCUGAACAAGGAGCACUGACUUCCCUGCCACAGACUUGCAAGGUGACCUUGACAAAUCACAGAACAUAUCUGUACCUCAGUGUGAGACGGGAGAAAUUAAAACAUUUCCUAGCUCACAGAGGCAUUGGUAAAGCUCAGUUAAUCAAAGUCUUUCAAGAUCUUUAGACAGAAUAAUCUAGAUAAGAGCAAAGUAUUAUUAUUCUUACUAAAGAGGACCUCUCCUGAGCACUUAAUUUUUCAUUUUAUACAAACUUUUUUGCUUAUUUACACUGUCAGCAUACAGAGUGAUAGAUCCUUCUGACCUGAUUUGUGUGAAGCUUGUCAAGAUACAGAUGUUUUUAGCACUAUAUCCCUGUUAGGAUAUGACACAAUACAUCAUAACAGCUCCAUCAGAGCCAUUAGGGUGUAAGUUGUCAAUGCAUAAUAAGAUUACUAUGCGUUAUAGCAGGUGGUGCUCAAAUAACACUGAAGCAUGAACACUGUGGUAGCAUCUAGAAUCCCUUUGAAUACUGGUGUUGCAAUACCUUUCUAAUGUAUCUAGCAUUAUCUUUUUGUAGUAAAAUAUUUCUUGUUGUGCAUGAAGAACUAUUUUUUUGGUAAAAUAAGUAACUGUUACAUUUUUGUUGUUUCAGAAAACGUAGAGGUCUACAAAUGUUUCUGUUUGCAAAAGAAGUUGUUUUUGUUUAAAUGAAGGGCAAAGCCUGCCAACAACUCUGUAAAUAUUAGCCAAAUAUGUUCAAAGUUUUACUGUUAGAAAACCAGCCUGUAAGAAGUUUGGAUUCAAAAUGGCUAUUGAAACAGUACUGUCAAAAGGUUCUAUUUAUAGAUUUUAUAUACAUACAUAUAUAAAUAAAUGGAAAAUGUUGUUUUAUGCACAAUAUUAAUGAGUAUAAUUGAGCCUGGAAAAAUGAGACAUUCAAAUAAUUUUAAGUUGGUGUCUGAAAAACUCUGCUGGUUUUCUAUCUAGGAAAGACAUCAAGGAAAAGAAUCAGCAGAACUUGCAGAGAAAGACUCAAUACUGCUAGGUUUGUACCUCCCUGUCAGUAUAACCUAUGAGCAUUACCCAUUCACUGGUGAAUUUAUGCUUCUCAUGCAUUUGUGAAGGAUCUCUUCUUAAGGAGAACUGAAAAACUGGCUUAUUGAGGAUCACGAUAAAGUCUGUAGCAGAACAUAGAGGAAAAGUGAACUUUGCUGAUAUUUUCAUAUCAUCACUAUUAAUCUGUAAUUCAAUGUGUGAAGCUUUUUCACAUUAUUGCAUUAUUCCUGAAAUGCACUCCAAGCAGGCAAACUGGCAAGCUACAGUGACAUACAUACACAUAUGUAGAUUUUGCAUGAGGUCUUAUAUGUGCAUUCACAUCUGCCUGUAUGGAAGCAGGUUGAGGUAGGUCUUUUAUAAAGUGAGAGAUGAAGGAAAAGUGCAGAAUUCAAAUGCUUACAAUGUUUUCAAGCCUUUGCAGAGAAGAAUGAGGUGAAUGGCUUCAAAGAAAAUUUUUCAUAUUUAGGCAUUACUGCAUCUUCAGUAGGUAUGAGUCCUCCUAAACAUGGAAGUUAUAGCCUCUCCCAGUAAGAUGUAUAGUGACUGUGUGAGAUGUAUGAUUUUCUUUCUGUGCAGUAGAGGCAACAGGCAGGGACUGACCUAUGAUCAGAAAAGUCCAAUAAAUUUUCCAGGAAUAUAUAUUCCAAAUGAUAAAAAAUUGAGUAAGAAAAGGAAACAGUCCAGUCAUUUUUCAUAAAUGUGUUGUUCAAAGACUUCCUCAUAAAAAAUCAAAUAUCUUUCUGGUACAGCAAAGAAAGGUAAAUAAGAUAUGCAUUCUGACACUUACACAGAAUAACAAGCAGGAAACAUGCUGUGGUCCUUGAAGAAGACAUAGAGUACAAAUAAAUAAAAGAAAAUACAGAAAAGGAAAGAAAAAAUUAAAGAAAAAAGAAGAAUGGGGAGGAACGUCAAUGAUAUGACCCGUGGCAUGAAUACAGUCUCUUUCUGUUAUUACAGCAAACAGAAAGAAGUUAGAAAUAGAAAUGCUUUCAAAUAAAGGCUAACAUGGGGGAAACAAUAAACUGAAGGGAAGACUUGCUCAUCUAAAAGACUAUCUAACAAAAUAACUUGGAAAUAACCUUCAUUGUUUUUUACUCAGGUUAGAGUAGAGUAGUUCACAUGGAGGAGAGAAGUCAAAGAUGAAUUGAAUUUGCUCAGGAACAAAAUUUCCACUCAUAAAAAUGGGAGCUUGUACUGGAAAGAAAAAAAAUAUAUGAAAUGCUGGGAAUGAUCUAGACCAAGUAGCAAAGAGUGAGAGUUCUGAAAACAAACCUAUCUUUGUUUCCUCCAUGUAAAGUUUGUUAAAAAAAAGAAAAAAAAAAAAAAAGAAAUGUUUAAGAUCUAGAAGUCUUCUGCAAAUGAUAUUAAAGGAGGCUAUUCUUAUAGAUCUAUAAAGCCAAAGGCUAAGUAAUGGUGGAAGAAAAGGAGAAAAGUUUAUUCUAACACCCUCCCAUGCUGAGCAAGAACACUGAAGACCAUAUCUUUUCAAAAGCAACAUUUGCUGAGACAGCAGGAUUUUUUUUUCCAGAAAUUAAAUUCUUCUUUGCCCCCAGUACAAAGCUGAAUAUUUUUUCUUGGAAGGCUAUUUCUGAGCCACAACCCCUAGACUGUUAGAAACCUUUUAAUUUCCAGCCUAAACUUACUCAUGAACAGUCUAUAUCUAUUUGUUUUUGUGCCAGCACUGUCCUUUUGUGUUAAUUGUACAUCUAUAUCAUGUAGCUAUUUGUAGGUUAUUUCGUAUUUCAAAAGAUAAUAUCAGUAUUUUUAAAAGAAAUCACCAGCUGAGAUUCUGAGGAUAAAAUUAGUUGUUGCAACAGCUGUUUGAUCAUAAAGUUAUUGUCUAAAAAGCUUAUGAACACAAUAAGAUGUGAUUUCACUUCACUUUAGGGGGAAAUAACAUGCUGUAUCUUUUUAUUACUUCUAUUUAUGACAUUCAGUAAUGAAAUAGAGUUAAAAUAAUUUUCAGGAAAACAGAACUUGAUUUAAGAAUAAAACAGACUAGAUGAAGUCUUUAUUCAUUCAUUAAAGGCAAGAGGCUAUUUUUCAACCUUUAUUCAAGAAACUUGAUGAAGUUUUCUUUUGGGUCUGGUUAAUUGUUUGGCUACAGUAUUUAUCAGUAUGACAACUGAUUGACAACUGCAUAACAACCAGCUACUUCAGAAGCAGAUUUGCACAAGUGGAUUUUUGAAGGAAGGAAAUUGAAAGUGUCAAGCUGAGAGAAUGAAGAGUGUCCAGGUCUAUGCAAACAUACUGUUGAGAUUAUACUGCUAGGUUGUAAGCCCUUCUGAGCAAUGAUAGUCCCUUUCCAGAUGCCUGUGAGCAUUACCUAUCUUUAAUGCAUUAGUAUAUAGAAAACAUACAUGUUUUCUCUCUUUCCUCUUCAAAGGAAAAAUGCAGAGUAAAUUUCAGUCUGUCAGAAUCUUUAGGAAACAUUACAGGGAUUUCCCUGCAGCACUUUCAUUUCUAUGCAGAACAAACUGAAGAGGUGCAAAGCAGUAUAUCAGAAAUUCUGUUUCUUGGUUGUAUGAAACUUCAGAUUUACCUUCCUAUUCUCAUUAUUAAUUACCUGCAAACCCUCCAAGAACACUUUCUGUGCCACAGCUGGACACUUUUUUCUCUACCCUCAUCUGCCAAAAGGUUGGUACUCUGUCAGAGAUGAGCUGGUGUCUCAUUUCUCUCUAUCCCUCUGUUUUUUCUCUUGCGCAUUCUGGCAGCGCAGGGCUCUUCUUUAUUAACCUUUUCCAACUGAAUAAGCCAGAACAACACAUGACUUCUGACCUGAAGCAAUACAGCCAAGUGAGUAGGCUGGCUAUCUAUUUGCACUGCCUUUCUACACGAGGUCCUUUUCCUCGGUAGACAUAAUGUACCAGAGAUGUAUUAGAGAUAAGGAUAAUGUGUCUGUCUGCCUGUUCUCCCUAUAGCUUUGGGAGACAAGCAGGAUGAAUAUGAGAGUGCAGUGGUAUGGGCCAAAUGCAAUGAGACUCCCACAAAUAUGGUGAGAUAAAAUGCUGUGGUGAGUAUUGCUGUUUGUAAUUCAGCUGAUCAUAAAUGUAAACAGGAUAUAGUAGCUGUAAGAAUAAAAUGAAUCUGAAGGUACUGGUAGCUACUCUGAAGCUUGUAUUAUUAACAAAAAUCAGAAGCAAAGCGUUCACUGAAGUCCUGGUUUUCAUGUACUUAUAUUUGGCAAUGUUAUUUUAAUCUCCUGACCUUGUUUUAUUUUUCUGUACUGUUUGUCUUCCCUGGAAAUGUUUAACUUGCUAGGUUAAAAUUAGCUUUGUGUUAUGGAGAUACUGUGCUAGGCUACUGGGAUUUUUCUCUCCAAACUAACCUGAUCUUUAUCAGUUAUUGCUCAACAUCUGCAUAGCUCUGUGUCUCUCUUACAUCUAAACAACUAUAUUUGGUAGCUUGCCAGCUGAUGGCAACAGUAACUUCAAAUAAAUUUGAGGAAAGUUUACAUCCCACUCAAUGCACUUUAUUCAAGGCAAUUUUUUUUCAAGUAUGCUAAGCCUUGUGGGCUUAAUCCUGCAGAUGCUAUUAAAUAGGCCCAACUGCUAAGGAGUUGCCUCUUUAAAGCAUUCUCUCCUUCAUGUCUGCGAGACUCCAAUACAUUCCACAGAGAGGCUGUUGACAUUCAUUUUCUACCAUUACUCCCACAGAACAUGUAAGUUCAAAAAAAAAAAAAAAAAAAAAAAGAAUAAACCUUUCCUGUAUGUUAACUCUGUAUCUUCCUAGCAGCAGAGGCAUGUAGAAAUAAUGACAAUUUUUAGCCUAAAUAAGCUGCUAAAAUACCUGCUCCACAUGGUAUUUCUUGUUUCUCCCCUGAAAUUGACAAAUGACAAAUUAAUUCCACCCCAUGGUAACUUAUGUAUAAAACUACUUUGGAAAUUAGCACAAAAGUACCUUUAUCUUCUGUGAAAACAUAUUCUGAGAAAUUUGUGAUGGCAUCUUAUUGGCACAGUAAUUAAGCAUGAUUGUUAUCUUCAUGAGCCCAUGGGAAAAAUCCACUUCUAAAGUGACCCUAAGUCUCGUGCCAUAUUUAGCUAGUCUUAGAAACAUCUCUGUAAAUUGACAAUUCAUUCUUCUAUUCAGGCUUUUAAUGUUACUAUUGGCACUAAAAGGUUAUUAUUUAGGGGGUAAACACACUAACAAUAAACAGUCUGAUUCUUUCUUGAUACACAGCUAUAGCACUUCAAUAGAAAUUAAGAAUAUUAAAGUUCAAAUGCUAACUCUUCUGAAGAAAAGUAGAAGUCUUACAUAGAUCAUCAUCUACAUGGAUGAACAUAUUGGAACCUUUGUAGUUCUGUAAGUUCCCCAUGGAGUGUGAGUUUAAUUCAAUUGUAUUCUGGAUAAUGAAGAGCAAUUUAAAUAAAAUACACAUAAGUUUAAUUAAUACAGACAAUAGAUUAUUUAAAUUUUGACUGUAGUUUUCUAUUUUUAUUUAUGAUUAAAAUAUGUUUAAUUAUUGUAGUAUAUAGUCGACAUGAAAUGAAAUUCACAUCUGUGUUGUGUAUUAUUCUGCUUAUAUAGCACAAACAUUUGCAGAUGUACACAGUGGUUAAAAUAGCUCACAAAAUCAAAUUGAUGAUUGAAACAUUGGAUACUUCUCUUAGGCAAAUAAAAGCAGAAAAUGCCCAGAAUGUAUAUGUCAGUCUUCCUAGAAAAUAUUCAAGUGGAGUCAAAGCAUACAUUGUUACUCAUGAAGCAGUAAGAGCAGAUCCUAUUCUUCUUUUCCUUUUAUCGUUAUUCUUGUUUGUUGCAAACAUUUCUUAUUCCUGUGACCAUUUUGGACUGAUUUGGCAAUCUCCCACUCUUGGGCUGCAUGCUUAAUCAAACAAGCAAUGCUGCAAGAGCCAGCAGGCAUGCUGGAAUGAAGUGAGUUUUGUCACAGUACAUACUCACAAGAUCGGUUCCAAGGAUGCUCAGCAGAAAGACAAAGAUAUUAAAUGCAAUUCGUAUAGCGAAGAUUUUCAAGUGCCCGCAUGAAAUUCCUUUAGAAGUGUACAGUUUCAGAAAACAGCCUUGAGUGUAUAGAGACAUUCAUCACAAGAUACUGUUCUUUGCCUCAGCCAGUUCCUUGGGGAUCCAAUUCCUAAGAAGAUCAGCCCCUGGAAACUAAAUAUUUCAAUUCAGUGCUUUUCUAGAGUUCUUUCUGCAUUCAUUCACCAGUGUCAGCUGUAUACAAACACCAUUAAAAGAACAACUAGAUGGAAAAUCUUAAACUUGUGAGAGAAUCAUAGAAUCAUUGAAUGGUUUGGAAUGGAAGGGACCUUUCAGACCAGCUACUUCCAACUCCCUGCUAUAGACAGGGACACCUCCUUCUAGACCAGAUUGCUCAAAGCCCCAUCCAGCCUGGCCUUGAAUACUUCCAGGAAGGGGCAUCCACAGCCUCACUCGGCAACCUGUUACAGUGUCUCACCACCCUCACAGUAAAGAAUUUCUUCCUAAUAUCUAAUCUAAAUCUGCUCUCUUCCAGUUUAAAAUCCUUUCCUCUCAUUCUGUCGCUACACUCCCUUGAAAAAGUCCCUCUCUAGCUUUCCUGUAGACCCCCUUCAGGUACUGGAAGGCUGUUGUAUGAUUCCCCCUGGAGCCUUCUCCUUUCCAGUCUGAAGAGCCCCAGCUCUCUCAGCCUGUUCUCUCAGGGGAAGUGCUCCAGCCCUCUGAUCAUCUUCAUGGCCCUACCCUGGACCCACUCCAACAGCUUCACAUCCGUCUUGUGUUUGGGGCUCCAGAACUGGAUGCACUACUCCAGGUGAAGCAGAGUAGAGGGACAGAAUCACCUCCUUUGACCUGCUGGUGAUGUUCCUUAAGUAUUUUCAGGAGCUAAGGCCAGGAAUGUCAAUCUACAGUGUAGGUGAAUAGCACUAAGGCCAUGCAGAAAGCCUGGUCCAUCCAACCCUGGAAGACAAGGCUACCACUACCGCAGAAUUCCUACAUUUAAAGCAAACGAUGAAGUGCAUUUUCAUAGAUAUUGAAUGUUUAAUGAUUUCAAGUCUCAUGAGAGACUGCAUGCAGUAGAGGCAUAAGCAAGUCAUGAAAGCUGAUAUGAAGCAAGUAGGCUAAAAUGCACAAAUUGUCUAAUUCUCAUAUCAUUCUGAUAUAUCCAGGCCAAGAAUUGGAAAGGAUGCUGAAGAAUAGUUUCUUUUCCAUUUUUUUUUCCCUUGGAAACAAGCUCAUUUUUAUAGCAACAUGUCUGAUCUCACCAUUCAAAACGGAGAAUAUCCCAAGUUUGAUGCCUUGAGAUACAAGAGGAGGUUAAGAGAUGCAUAUCACUUCUAGAAAUGAACAACAGCUGCAUCCAGGCUUCUCCCUGAAAAUGGGUGACUUCUCCAGACACGGAGGACAUGAGCCAUAGACCCAAGAGAUUUUCACACAAGUGAUCACACCCUUGACAAGCUGGCUGAAGUUCAAUCCUAAAAGGCCAAACAGUUUGUCUGCAAUAGACAGAGAAGAUAAGACUUCCUGACAGAAGUCUCUUCAUUUAAUUGUAUAAUCCUCCACACUGAUCAAGGAAGAAAACUUAGGGUCAUUGCUCAGUGAAUUGCCUUACAAUGCACGACAAUUACAUUGGAAGCAAAACAAAGGUACCAGCUUAUAAAGAGAAAAAGAAAAAAGAAAAAAAAAAAAAAAAAGGAAAUCUCUAGUUCAGUUGGACAGAUUUGCAAGGAUCUUCGAAAAUGUGAAGGAAAUGGCUUUCUUCAAUCAGUUGUGUCUGUGUGGAGAGUGAAGGUGAAUAGUCUCAGCUCAGGAGGAAUGUAAUUUGGAAAGGUACGAGCAGCUGAGAAGGGAUUCUCAUGGGCACAGCGUUUGAACACUAAAGUGGCGGCUAUCUUUCCCACUGCAAUAAAAGGGAAGCCGGUAACAAUGGUGUGCUAUAAAAAGCAAAGGAACAUUUUUCUUUGUCAAACAACCACACCUCUCUGGCAGUGCUGCUGCUGUUGCUGCAGUACACUGGCUGAAAUCCACUCUGCCUUUGAACUCUACUGUUACAGAAUUUCAAUUAAAACUGAAAACCACACAAAGGUUGUGGGCAUAAAGAAUACCAAAAAGACACAUCCAUACCAUUGAUUGUUUUUGUUUUUCUUGGUCUGAUUAGGAAAUAAUGAUUUAAGCUGAUGGUGAGAUCCCAGGUAUUGCUGUAUAGGAAAAUUUUACCUAAUUAAAGAUGGGGAAGAACUAUAGAAAAUUCUCCAAGAUCAGAGCUGCCAUUCAAAAGAAAAAGUCAUACUGGGGUUCAAAAUCCCUCCAGAAACUGUUUCACUCCAUUAAAAAAAAAAAAAAAAAAGUAUUUGAAGCCUGGAGGAAGAAUACAAUUUAAGAGAGUUUUUACCUUAAGUGAUGUACCCAACAAGGCCUUAUGUAUGCUGCAACAAGCUACAGUACCUGCAGGGUGCUUAUCUACCAUGGAAGUCUUCUAUUAUCUCAUUCUUUACAUGAAUGAAAGUUGAAUAAAGUUUCUUCUUUCUCAGAAACCAUUACACUGAUUUGACUGGGUCUGGAAGUAGCAGAAUGUUUUCCACCCAAUUAUUUUCAACUGAUUGAGAAUGUAUUACUUUACUCAUAGGCACUUUGGAGUUUCAAUGACUAUGUGAAGGACAGUACUUCCAGUAACAUUUAGAAACAUUCUGAGUGGAGAGAAGAUGAAAAGAAAAACCAAAACCAAAAACAAAACCACAACCAAGCAAAACACUUAGUUGUUUAAAAAUGCAUCCAUUUUCUCAUGUUUUGUUUUUUUUUUUUUCUUCUGGAAAUCAAUGCUGCAAGUUAUUGUUGUUAAUUGUAAUGAGAUCAUAAGUUUAGAAAACAUUCCCUCAUAAAAAAACAAAUGUCUUUUAAUAAAGUAUGAGAAUUGUGGAAUGACUAUUGGUAAUAAAAAUGAAAUCUGACAAAGAAUACAGAAUAGCCACAGUGGGGAUAACAGAUAUAUUUCUUUGGAACUGUUAGCUGCAUUAACAUCAUAUAAAACUGUGUUCUAAGAUAUCUGAGUUCUAUGUGAAGGAUCAUAUGUAAAUUUUAACUAAACUGGAGCCAUUAUAUUAUCAUAGGUACAAUGUGCUAGAUAGAAGGCUGUUUCACAUCCACUGAAUAGAUGUGUAUGUUCAUGCAUGUAUGCAUAGCUGUAUGUCUAUAAAUAUAUUCAUAUGUUUAGAGAAAACUUGAACUGGUGGAAAACUGAAAGGACAGGAGGAAAGCAUAGUUUGACUAAAAAGCUAGUUGUUCCAUCUUUCUGUUUCUUUAUUCACCAUAUUUACAUUUUAAUCAGAAGUUGGACUCAAUCCUUAGGCAUCCCUUCCAACACGGGAUAUUCUAUGAUUCUAUGAUUCUAUAUUUAUUUCCCUGCUCACUUCUUUUGUAUAAAACCUACUUUCUAAUUCAGUUGGGUAACUCAUCUUUAAUAUUAUUUUAACAGAUCUUGUCUUACUUUCAUGGAGUAGUCACAGCAAAGGUUGCAUUGUAAAAGAAAAUUGCCUCACUACUGCACUGGGUUUUCUAAUUAGUAUAUCUGGUACCACCAUUGGAUAUUUGGAGAAGAAGAAAAGAGAGAGGAAAGAGAGACCACUGUUAAUCACCCCUUACUAGUAGUUGAGGCCCUCAACUUGUUAUUUAAUUUUCAGUUUUACAUACCUCGAUUUCAGAAAACAAAUGAUAGAAAAAGAACCUCAGCUGCAUACCCCGGCUUGCAGGCAAACCUCUUCUAUAAAUAUGUGACCAUUUUAUGAAACUGUAUGGAAGAGAAAAUACGACUAUGAACUUAUGAACAUGUCGAGUGUUUCCCAAAAGAGUUUUAUGGUUUUAUGAUCUAUGAGUUGAAUCAACUCAAAGGAAACUUGAUUUUAUUAAGAACAGCAUCUCAGAACUCAUCUGUGGGUUUGGAUUUCCAACACACUCCUGUAAAUUUGUUGAAUUAUUUAUUUGCAGUGAUGAGACGAGAACAGGAUUCUUCAAGUGGGCUGUACAGUUUGCAUGUCUUACAAAAAAUCUGAUCCAGAAAGACAGAUCUCCAUCAUUCUUAUAUAAGUCUUUUAUAAAUUUGCCCACUGUUAUUGUAAAAUUAGUCUUUUUACAGGAGUGAAAUUUCAAAUUGCUGAAACACUUUCCUGUAGAAUCAUGAAGUGAGAAGAAAAAAUUGAGAAGUAUUUCUGCCUGUAUGAGGAAACACAUGAGCACUGAUACAGAAGGUAUCAAGCCAGCUUGCUGACCAUUGCUUCUAGGACAGCUGGAAGGUCAUGGGAAAUAUUCCACUUCACCAUUCCAAAAUCCUUGCCAUUCCAGUUUGCCUCUUUUCAUUAUUUUUAUUAUACAGAAGCCCAGCAUGUUGUUAGGUCUUUGACAAGGAUUUGAACAAAAUUUAAUAUAUAACUACAUUAUUGAAGGAGUCAUAGAAUUAUAGAAUCAUAGAAUGGUUUGUCUUGAAAGGGUUUCUUAAGAUCCCUAGUUCCAACCUCUCUGCUAUAAGCAGGGACAUCUCCUACUAGACCAGGUUCCUACAUGCCCUCAUAAAAAGUGGCCUGAUAGCUGCCUUUCAGUAUCUAAGGGGGACCUACAGGAGAGAAGGGGACAGACUCUUUGGCAGGGUCUGUGAUGAUAGAAAAAGGGGAAAUGAUUUCAAACUAAAAGAGAGGAUAUAAGGAAAAAGUCUUUUACAGUGAGGAUGGUGAGGCAUUGUAACAUAUUUCCCUGAGAAAUGGUGGAUUCCCUCUCCCUGGAGACACUGAAGAUCAGGUUGGAGGAGUUCUAAGCAACAUGAUCUACCUUUGGAUAUCCUUUUUCAUUGCAAGGAUGACCGUUAAGGGUUCCUUCCUACUCAAAUGAUAUAUGAACUUGAGCACACCCUUUCUUUCUUCCACGAUUACCCACGGAAUAUGAAAGUAAUAGAAUGUCUACUGCAUACUUGCUUUCCUUACCCCUGCCUCUCCCCAGGUUUUGCAGAUUGUAUCUGCAGUUGCAUUUUUCAUCACUUCCUCUUGAGAUUGUGGGAAAGUGAGGACAAAGUAUGACAUUAAAAACAAUUUGACUCUAAAAGGAAAAAAUAAACCAGACUAUUGCUAGGAAAACAUUAUUGAAAAUCCUAUGAAAAUAUAAAUACAAUUUAUUUUGGUAUCCUUAAUCCUCUUAAAAUGGAAGAAUUAAGCCCAAGAAGCUGUUUAACUGCAUGUAGAAAUCAUGGUGAAUUUAUCUUCAUUGGGUGACCUCAUCAAAUUAUUCUCCACUGCUGUGAUUUUUUUUGAAGACAGCUCAAUAACAUUUGACUCCCAGUUCCCAUUAGAAUUUAAUGAGAACUGGGCCUCUAAGUCCCCCAGAUUCCUUUGAAAAUAACCCAGCCUAUGAUAAAAUAAUACAGUUCUGUGCAUCCUUAAUUUCUGACAGCAUGUUCAUGUCUGGAAUAUUGAUUGCAACUGCUACUGCCAAGCACACAGAUCCCAUCACUCUUGCCUGCUUUUCCAUUAUGUCAUAAAUAGAUAGCACAGCUCAAUAGAUCAUACAGAUAGAUGGAGCUGGACUACUUACAUGGACUUGCAGGAAAAAACAACUAAUAAUAACCAAGUAUCUAACUUGAUUGGACAAAUUACUUGAAUGAUUUUUAAAAGCUCUGAAAUGAGUAACUUCGAAGAGUGAAUAACGGCGAAAACAAGGCCAGGUCCAACAGUAGUAAUUAGAUUCAAGUAAAAAAUAAAACUCAAUUGGAAAGUUUUAAAGUCUUUGUAUUAUGCAAGUAACCUGGCAAGUUUGUGGUACCAGAAAUGGGAGUUCAAUUAAAUAUUUGGAAAGCCAAAAAAAAAAAAAAAAAAAAAAAAAAACAACCCAAAAAACAAAAAACAAACAAACAAAACAAAACCCAAAACCCAAAACAAACAAAACAACAACAAAAAACCAGACAUGCAAGCAGAAUCAUUUAGUAUCCUGCUAAGCUGAAAACACAUUCAAACUAAAACGAGAACUCAGGUGGUUGAAUAAGCAAUAGGAAAAAAGGAACAGAGUUGUCAAAAUAAAAUAUAUUUCAGACUGACUUGAGUAAAAUUUUAAUCCUUGAUUUCAUUUUUCGUGUUUGUACAUUUGUUCCCAGCAGUAAAAUCACAACAUCAUUUCACAGAAAGGUAAGGAAAGGAAAGGAAAGGCAAAGAAAAAGUGCUGGUGAUUCAGCCUCCAGGCUCUCCAUAAAACCUACUAGGAAGCAGAAUGCAAAGUUGUUUUUGUAUGUCCUACUGUGACUUAUCAUGUUAUUAGAAGUCUAUUUCCUCAUCUUUCUGGGGAAAAAAAAGAAAAAAGGGACAACUCAGGAAGAUCACUGUUGGGCUUCAUUCUUCCAUGGAAUUAAAAAAAACGAAACAAAACAAAAAAAAUCCAAAGCAAACAACAAAAAAAGCAACCUGUACUCAGCAGCUAUGGUUUGCAACACUGCACCAAGAUUAGGUUAGAUAUUCAUUUUAAGAGCAGGCCAUUACUUUUGCAGUACUUCUGCAGGAGUAAGACUAAGGAAAUAGCCUAACAGAUCUCAUUCAUAUGCAGCAACUCACCAGUCUCAAUAGAUAGGAUUAACUUGGAUUCUUCACAGGGAAUCCAAUUUCAUAAUUAUUUUGUUUAGUUUUAUCAUUUUAUUUUAUUUUUACUUUAUUUAAUGAAUUUAAAUGAAAAUAUCUAGAAAUCUAUCAGGAACUGGGACUCCAUUUUGUCCCCUGUAUGUGGGGCCUACUAUAAAACUGCAAAACCAAAAUUGUGGUUCAUAUUCUUUUAACAUCUCCAAUCUAAAGAGGAAAGAUAAAACUGAGAUACAGAGGAUUUGGUGUCCAAGGAGCCAGUGGAAUGCCUAAGGGCAGUUUAAAGCAAACUUGAAUGUUUACACAGUCUCAAACCACCCUUCUUUUCUGAACACACCAGGGGAGACAAAAUUUGUCAUCCUAGCAGGCAGGAGUGUAAGUACAUCUCCUGCAUACCUGCUGCCAAAGGGUAUUUGUAUGUUUGAAAGUUACUGCGGCAAAAGAAUGUCAAGCAAUGACUUAAAGACUGAUGAAGUGCUUUCUGGACAUCACUGAUGAAGUUCUCCUUAAAGCAGGUGGCCUAGCAUCAAACAAAAUAUAAAUAUACCUGCUGGAAAAAUAGAAUGAUUAGUUAACACCAUAGGGCAAACAAAUGUUAAACUGACCUCAAGUCCAAAGGAGAGAUGAAAGACAGAUGGGGGCUGGUGAAUGCACUUGAUAAUGUUGUUGGGAGCCUUAAAUCUGGUGGACAGAGAAACAGGAACCUUUGGAUGGAUGGAUGCAUAGGGUGACAAGGAUGAAACUAUGGAAAUCUGAAAUACUACCUCCUGGUACAUUUGCAUUUCAGGAAUCUGAGCACUUAAAUAGAGAGAGGCAGUGGCGAUGAAAUGGAAGAUAAGUUUUACUCAUGAAUUAGUUGUAAUCAUCUGUAAUAUUGUGUUAGCUGGAGAGCAAACGUUUAGGAGCAUGAUCAGGAAGAUUAGUUGAUUUUCCACUUGUAUCAUAUAACGUAUGAAUACAACAAAUUCUGCAACAUAUUAAAUAUAUAUGGAAUUAUUUUAUUUUAUUUUAACUUAUAGCAAAGGUGAUUUACUUCUUUACACAAGAAAGAUUCCUAUGACUAUUUGUAGUCAUAGAACUUAGCAGUCUAAGUUCCAAAGUUGAAACUUUAAUUGGAACUAUAGGAAAUCUCCUCUGAUAGCUCUGAUAAUAGAUAGCUCCUCUGAUACAUCUAACCAGUAAUAAUUUCACAUCUAUAGAUUUUUGAUGUGGCCUUUUAAUGUACUUUUGGAUCCUCCUGCAUGAUGAUGAUUCUGGUCUUGCAAGCUGCUGUGUGUAGGCAGCCCCUGACACCAGAGACCACUGCUGUGGGAGUUAGAAAGUCUGUGCUCAGAUGGAAAGGUCAAACUGCACAGAAUAGCUUGCAGGUUCAGAAGCCUGCCUGAAAUACUCUCAGCUUAGAACAAACCUGAAUUACUUUGUGAGUAUGAAACAUUUAACACGAGAGCCUGCAAAAAGUGGUAAAGGUUUUGUAUAUAGCUGUCUAAGAUGAGCUAACCUAAGACUUAAUUAGCUAUAAUAUACAAAGAAACCCUUUUUAAUAAAUAAUUAAAUAAUUAAAAUCCUGGCCUGUGACAGUAGCAAAAUCAGUUUUGCAGUUGGAAGUCUACUUCUGUGCUUUCUUUAUUAUUAAAUACAUCAUUUUAAGAAGGCAAUUUUGAACUGAAUAGAUGUGAAUCUAAGAACACCAAAACCCACUUUGUGUCUUGAUAGAAACAUUUUUUUUGUGUGUUUUGAUCCUGGAAAUUUCACAUCUCUCUUUUAACUUUCUUAAGAAAUAACAUUACUUCUGUUUCUCCAGUCGUUUACUUGCUUAAACUCCAGAGCAUACUGGUGUGCUGCAUAAUUGGAACAAAGCUUAAUAUUGUAAAUAAAAACCUUUACCUCCAAAUCUGCAGAGGAACUGUAUUUAAAGAAAUGAAACAAAAUAGAAUUUAAAUGCUUAAAUACAAGAUAAUGUUUAGAAACUUUAGCUGCCCACAAUCAAACAUUCCCAGCUGAAGUUUGAUUACUUUGGCUUGCAUUUAUCUGAUACUAAAAAAAAUAAGGAUUGGUUGUCAUCGAGGUAUUGGAAAGUGACAAAUAUAAUAUAAUUUCUAAAAAGAAUGACCAUCAACCCAGUACUGCAUACAGUAUGGAUGAAAGAAAGCCCUUUUUACCUAGCUUCAAAUUCCCCACAGCCUUCUGGAUUUUACAUAUUUACCACAGGUACUCAUAGAACUGAGUUGUUUGAAAUGUGAAAAUGUCUGAAUGUGUUUUCAGGAGCAGCCUGAAUAAUGUGGACAACACAUCAACAGAGAGCAAAACUAAUACAGAUACACUGAAUAAAAAGGACAGAGAGGGAGAAAAAGAUGUAGAUGAAAAUGCAUAACAACAGGGCAUAAAAACAGUGUCAAUAUCCUUAUCUAUUUAAUUAAUGUUGGAAAUAAGUUUAGUUACAAAUUAUGCAAUAAUAAUUAAUUAACAAUCUAACUCUAGAUUCUCAUGUCAUUAUUCAUCUUUAAAAAUAUUUGAUACAGUGGUUAUUGAUGAGUUUUGUAUUUUUCUAGUAGCUUUGCUAACCCCUGAUUAUUACUGCUCAUAUAUUGACCUUUUUGCCAUAUGUUUUGAUCAACUUUGAAUUAUUAGUAUUUAAAUUUUCUAACAGAUUAUUGAAGUCUCAAAAUACAAUGGUUUUUGUAGCAAAAUCAUUAAUGUGAUAAGAUGCAGAUCAAAAGGAGUGUUCACCACCGUGAAUACAAAUAGUACAAUAUGAAUUAAUAUGAAAAAAUGAAACACUGUGAACAACAGACUUCCAUUAAUGUGUUAGUGAGCAUAUUAAUGACAAAAUUGCUGAAAGAUACAAUGAAAAGUCUCAACUAAGAAAAAAAAUAUGGAACAUUUCUCAGAAUAUAAAUGAAUUCCUAAAUGAAACAAUUUAAAGGUUAAUUUGGUAUUAUUUCCUGGAUAUGUGUGUCAAAUUUAUUCAUUGAUCAAAAGCACUCUUUUACACAAACAAACAGAUAAAUGCCCUUGAUAAUAAACAGCAUUUGAAAUGCUACAUCAGGUGAUAGUGCAGACUACUUUCCUUUGGUCUAGUGAGUCAUUCAGGGAGUAAGACUAUCUUAUCCACACAGACCCAGUGUACUGAAAUUUAUGACAGUCAUUCACAGUUUGGGGGCUGCUAGAUUGCAUAUGUUCUUUCAAAGAGAUCUUAUUAGGUAUUCUGCUGCUGAGGCAUCUGCUGGUCAGGGUAAUCUUGAUGCAGGUCAUGUAGAAGACUUGUGGACAUGAAGAACAGCAUUUUUCCAUUACUAGCUUGAUUCCAAAACCAAUGAACUAUUAGCUAUGGUGGUGCAGGAGACUUUUCACCAGUGUUUUAUUAAGAAGUCCAGGGUCUCUAAAUUUGGCAGUGCCCAUGGGCCAUAGUUAUAUUCUACUAAUGAGAAAAUUAUGAUACUGACAUCAGCUUCCCAAUCCUUUUCCCUAAAGAAAACACAUAGCAUAUUAAUCUGUAUAAUUAAUGUCAUGUUUCUUCAUAUCCUCUCUCUCCAAUUAUCCUCAAAAUAAUUCUGUUUGACUCCAAAUACCUGAAAUCUUUAAAAACUUUAUACCAAUAUCUCUAUGGUAGAUCUCUUUGAGUGUAGUUGUAACUCAUAACAAAAACAUUGUAUUUCUGUUAACGUAUGGAUAAUUACAUCAGAAGUCACAUACAGACCAUCAUGAGAAUAAUGCUCGUUCUUAUUGCUGUAUUUUGAAAUUUAAAGAUCCUUAGCACUGAAUAAGUGACAGAAGUAUGCACAAUAAAUUUAUACUAUUGCUUUUAAACUCAUAUCUGCCUUUUUGAUAGUAGAGAACAGCAGAGAAAAUAAUUAAAUACCUACAAAAAUAUUUUGUUUGUAUGUGGUGUUUUGGAGAGAAAGGUAGGUAAGAUUUAUUUAUAUUAAUAAUGUGUCACCAUUUUAUGUACCAGAAACUGCAUAGUUAAUAACUGCACUUGAGUUACAGUGAAGAUUUUCAAUACUUUCAAAUGAAAUUUUAUAUAAAUUCUGAUUUGUUUUAAUAAAAUUUAAAUGUUUGGUAACAG